GUGGGGAAUCUUGCGCAAUGGGCGAAAGCCUGACGCAGCCAUGCCGCGUGAAUGAUGAAGGUCUUAGGAUUGUAAAAUUCUUUCACCGGGGACGAUAAUGACGGUACCCGGAGAAGAAGCUCCGGCUAACUUCGUGCCAGCAGCCGCGGUAAUACGAAGGGGGCUAGCGUUGCUCGGAAUUACUGGGUGUAAAGGGCGCGUAGGCGGACAGCUUAGUCAGAGGUGAAAGCCCAGGGCUCAACCUUGGAAUUGCCUUUGAUACUGGCUGUCUUGAGUUUGGGAGAGGUGAGUGGAACUCCGAGUGUAGAGGUGAAAUUCGUAGAUAUUCGGAAGAACACCAGUGGCGAAGGCGACUCACUGGCCCAAUACUGACGCUGAGGCGCGAAAGCGUGGGGAGCAAACAGGAUUAGAAACCCGAGUAGUCC
Molecule: ribosomal RNA, 425 nt
Filed under: uncultured bacterium
Lineage: Bacteria
Description: bacterial SSU rRNA
Rfam family: Bacterial small subunit ribosomal RNA
Source: RNAcentral